Molecule: ribosomal RNA, 460 nt
Filed under: uncultured bacterium
Lineage: Bacteria
Description: partial 16S ribosomal RNA
Rfam family: Bacterial small subunit ribosomal RNA
Source: RNAcentral
CCUACGGGAGGCAGCAGUGAGGAAUAUUGGUCAAUGGGCGUAAGCCUGAACCAGCAAAGUCGCGUGAGGGAUGAAGGUUCUAUGGAUCGUAAACCUCUUUUAUAAGGGAAUAAAGUGUGGGACGUGUCCUAUUUUGUAUGUACCUUAUGAAUAAGGAUCGGCUAACUCCGUGCCAGCAGCAGCGGUAAGACGGAGGAUCCGAGCGUUAUCCGGAUUUAUUGGGUUUAAAGGGUGAGUAGGCGGCCUUUUAAGUUAGCGGUGAAAGUCUGUGGCUCAACCAGAGAAUUGCAGUUGAAACUGGGGGGCUUGAGUAUGUUUGAGGCAGGCGGAAUGCGUGGUGUAGCGGUGAAAUGCUUAGAUAUCACGCAGAACCCCGAUGGCGAAGGCAGCCUGCCAAGCCAUGACUGACGCUGAUGCACGAAAGCGUGGGGAUCAAACAGGAUUAGAUACCCGAGUAGUC